UGAAGAACAAAACUGAUGAGACUGAUGAGGUUCCUUCCUUCGAGAUGCUCACACUGGGGCAGAGUGACGUGGAAUAACCUGGUAAUAGGAGAUAAUAAUGUCAAGUAAGAAGCAACCAAAAAUGGUUCCACGUUGGACUGCGAGAGCCUGGGGACAGCAUUCUCAGGAGUGGGAGUCAGAAGAUGGAGUUCCAAGGAGUGGCAGCCAAGGAGCCAGGACAAGUGUUCCAAGCAGGAGGAAUGGCCAGGGCAAAGGCUUGAUGGUGGGAAAGCAGGCUGCAAGUGUGGCCGUGGGUGGCUUCAGAGAGCUGGGUGGAACGGUUCGUGCCUCGCUAAGUAGGCCUGGCCAGGUAGGAGUUUGACCUGCAUUCCAAGUAAAAGGAUAAGUUAUUAGAGGGUUCCAACUGAGGAAAGAUGGCAUCAGACUGGCAUUUCAGGACAUCCCUCCAGCUGCUGGGCAGACAGUAGUGUCAGUUACACCUGCCCAAGCCACACUGGUCUUCUUGCAUUUUCCCAAAUCCCCCAGACAUGUUCCUACUUGAAGCCUCUUCACUCACUCUCCUCCUCCAGGAAGGCUCUUGUCUCAGAAAGCCACAUGACAUGUCCUCAUCUCCCUCAGGUCUCACUUCCAAUGUCCCUUGUGACAGAGGCCAUCCUUGGCAACACUCUAAAAAGCCGGGCACAGGGCUCCCUGCCCCUCUAGUCUACUUUAUUCAUCUGUAGCACUUAGAUAUUAUACAGGAUACACGGGUUUGUGUAUUUUUUUCUCCUCCAGUCAAAUGUAACACCACUAGUACAGAGUGCGUGCUCAACAGUUAGUCUAUAGUCUCAAUAGAUACAGAGCUCUCUGUGUACAUGGGUUCCACAUUUGUGGAUUCAACCAAACCGGU
Molecule: long non-coding RNA, 889 nt
Filed under: Homo sapiens (human)
Lineage: Eukaryota; Metazoa; Chordata; Mammalia; Primates; Hominidae
Description: HSALNT0231398
Source: RNAcentral